UGGAGAGUGUGCUGGGACCAAAAUAAGCAACUGUGAAGAACUUGGCAGCUUCUCAUUGGCUGUUUCAGAAGUGAGUAACGAGACACCGAGUUGAGAGCUACUUCUCUUGCAUGUUGAUACAAUGAAAAUUAUAAAAUGGGCAAGUUUUGCCCGUAAAAAUGAGAGAGGCUUGAUCAAGUCGUUUUGUAGAGAAGUGUGAUCUAUGAUAGACGCACUUUCGGUUUUGAACGAGUGAGUUUAUCAAGUGUCUAGCAAGCAGGAGUAAAAGAGUAAGGAACAAACAGCAGACAGAGAGAAGCCAAGUCAAAUCAGGUCCUCGCAACACCCGGCAGAGAAAACUGGAGUAACCCCAACCAAGAGAGCCAAAAGAGAACCUUGUCAAACCGGGAACAGAGGAACGUCCCGUCCAGCAGACGCUGACUGGGGGAAACCCCGUUGAAGUGGUAAGCUAAAAUUCUCCAUCCAAAGAAUCCUGGAUGGAGAGGGAGAGCUGUCCCCUAAGUUGUGUCCCAGUGGAAGAAGUAGUAAGAGAUAGGCAACAUUAUCAAGUUGAGCACUCAACAGUCGCCCAGCAGGAGUGGGCUGGAGCCCCAGCUGAGAGUCCCAAGCAGAGCGCCCACUCGAUUCUGUCUUUGGCUGAGCUUCCGGCUCUUCUGCCCCAUCGCUUCUGGCUCUUCUGCCCCAUCGCAGAAAAAGUUCUCUCUGAUGCCCAUUUUCUUGGAUUGCUAUCCACAAACACAUGGAGAUUCUAAACAGCUUGAGCGCCAUGAGCCCUUUUAGGGAAUUUGAUUAAGGCCACGUGUAAGGUCGAACGCACAGGACAGUGAAGAAGGACUGACAUUCAGUUCCACAGACGUCCAGAAAAUAAGACUGUGCUGUUUUAAAUAAAAAUAGCACCGUUCCAUCGCUAAUUUUAACCCAGAGAACAAGCUCCUUCCUUUAAAUAGGGCCCGUUGGAUGGAUUCCCGAUGCAGCACCAUGGUGGCUGUCCUCCACGAAGUUCACACCGGAGUUCACACCCGAGAACUGCAGAGCUGAGGUGCACGUGCUCGCACAUACAUACAAUGUUACCAGCAUACCUACAGCCAUGAGGCGGGCCAUCUGCAGCUCAUGGGUGGCGAAACCUAGCCUCAUGGACAAGACCUUGGGAAGUACACUUAUUUAAAGAGGAGUGUGCCAGUCAUGCAUAACUUUGCUGAGAGCGGACAGCGUGGGCCAACCAGUGUCUAAGGAGGAAAACACUUAAAAGACUGGAACACAGAAGCAGCGAGUCAGCGAGAUGAAGACAGAAGCUUGUAACUCACCAGUCCACCCGUGGCCAUGUUUUAGUAACCUAAGAGUGCUUUCUGUUAAUUUCAACUAUUCUUGUUGUUUCUGUAAUAUAUCUCUUUCCUGGUUAAAAUA
Long non-coding RNA from Rattus norvegicus (Norway rat), 1404 nucleotides. RefSeq lists it as uncharacterized. NCBI's taxonomy places the organism in Eukaryota, Metazoa, Chordata, Mammalia, Rodentia, Muridae. The record is from RefSeq and is a predicted model, not a curated record.